Molecule: long non-coding RNA, 533 nt
Filed under: Olea europaea subsp. europaea
Lineage: Eukaryota; Viridiplantae; Streptophyta; Magnoliopsida; Lamiales; Oleaceae
Source: RNAcentral
GACAGAGACGAGAUGGUAAAAUCCCCAGCAACAGGACGGUUUGACAUUCCCAAUUCAAGACAUGCGGCUUGGUUCUUUAGACAUAUGGCAUUACAAAAACUCCAAUUCACAAAGUUGUUCAAACAGACAUAAAUAGCCAGAACUCAAAAAACAUCAUGCUUUUUAACAGAACAACUCAAUUGAUAAACCACAGGCACCAUAAUCAGUGUAACACAAGAAAAACAACCACAAUGAGAUAAGGGUAAAAGAUACAGACCAUUCAUUACACAACUAUUCUCAGUUAGUUACAGAUUCAGAGUUCUGCUCAUUGAAGGCAAAAGACGAGUCUCUUAGGACUUAUUAAACACUGAUAGAGAAACAGAGAAGAGUGAGAAACAUGAUCGUGCCUAAUCCUUGGCACUGGGUAUUCAUCUGCAUAAUCAAGAGAGUAAAAAGUUAAUCUAACUGAAUAAAUUUUCAGAAUCUCAACAAAGUAACAUAUCAAUGAAAAAUUAAGUAAAACAUGCUGCUUAUGUCCCAAAACAUAAACCUCU